UCCCUUCCAUGAUGUUAGCACUGGGCUCGGAUUACUGUGACGAUGACUGUGCCCCCCUAGACAUUAUGGGGGACUGAGGAGCAA
Small nucleolar RNA from Heteronotia binoei (common prickly gecko), 84 nucleotides. NCBI's taxonomy places the organism in Eukaryota, Metazoa, Chordata, Lepidosauria, Squamata, Gekkonidae. The record is from RefSeq and is a predicted model, not a curated record.